ACCGGGCACAGUGGCACAUGCCUGUAGUCCCAGCUAUUUGGGAGGCUGAGGUGGGAGGAUUGCUUGAGCCCAGGAAUUCUGGGCUGUAGUGCACUAUGCUCAUUGGGUAUCUGCACUAAGUUCAGCAUCAAUAUGGUGACCUCCUGGGAGUCAGAGACCACCAGGUUGCCUAACGAGGGGUGAACAGACCAAGGAUGGAGCAGGUCAAAACUCUGGUGCUGAUCUGUAGUGGGAUCGCGCCUGUGAAUAGCCACUGCAUUCCAGCCGGGACAACAUAGCAAGACCCCGUGUCUU
Molecule: unclassified non-coding RNA, 294 nt
Organism: Callithrix jacchus (white-tufted-ear marmoset)
Lineage: Eukaryota; Metazoa; Chordata; Mammalia; Primates; Cebidae
Rfam family: Metazoan signal recognition particle RNA
About the family: The signal recognition particle (SRP) is a universally conserved ribonucleoprotein.
Source: Ensembl